UGAGGAAUAUUGGUCAAUGGGCGAGAGCCUGAACCAGCCAAGUCGCGUGAAGGAAGACUGCCCGCAAGGGUUGUAAACUUCUUUUGUAUGGGAUUAAAGUCACCUACGUGUAGGUGUUUGCAGUUACCAUACGAAUAAGCAUCGGCUAACUCCGUGCCAGCAGCCGCGGUAAUACGGAGGAUGCGAGCGUUAUCCGGAAUUAUUGGGUUUAAAGGGUGCGUAGGUUGCAAGGGAAGUCAGGGGUGAAAAGCUAUAGCUCAACUAUGGUCUUGCCUUUGAAACUCUCUAGCUAGAGUGUACUGGAGGUACGUGGAACGUGUGGUGUAGCGGUGAAAUGCAUAGAUAUCACACAGAACUCCGAUUGCGCAGGCAGCGUACUACAUUACAACUGACACUGAAGCACGAAAGCGUGGGUAUCAAACAGGAUUAGAUACCCUGGUAGUCCACGCAGUAAACGAUGAAUACUAGAUCUAUGCGAUAUGACAGUAUGGGUCUAAGCGAAAGCGAUAAGUAUUCCACCUGGGGAGUACGCCGGCAACGGUGAAACUCAAAGAGAUUGGCGGGGGUCCGCACAAGCGGAGGAACAUGUGGUUUAAUUCGAUGAUACGCGAGGAACCUUACCCGGGAUUGAAAUGUAGAUGCAUGAGGCUGAGAGGUCUCUUCCCUUCGGGGCUUCUAUGUAGGUGCUGCAUGGUUGUCGUCAGCUCGUGCCGUGAGGUGUCGGCUUAAGUGCCAUAACGAGCGCAACCCGCGUCGAUAGUUACUAACGAGUUAAGUCGAGGACUCUAUCGAGACAGCCGUCGUAAGACGAGAGGAAGGAGCGGAUGACGUCAAAUCAGCACGGCCCUUACAUCCGGGGCGACACACGUGUUACAAUGGUAGGGACAGCGAGCAGCCAUCUGGCGACAGAGAGCUAAUCUAUAAACCCUAUCCCAGUUCGGAUCGGAGUCUGCAACUCGACUCUGUGAAGCUGGAUUCGCUAGUAAUCGCGCAUCAGCCAUGGCGCGGUGAAUACGUUCCCGGUCCU
Molecule: ribosomal RNA, 1027 nt
Filed under: unidentified
Also listed under: 1 other name
Description: bacterial SSU rRNA
Rfam family: Bacterial small subunit ribosomal RNA
Source: RNAcentral